GUGCUUGCAUCAUGAUUUACAUUUGAGUGAGUGGCGAACUGGUGAGUAACACGUGGGAAACCUGCCCAGAAGCGGGGGAUAACACCUGGAAACAGAUGCUAAUACCGCAUAACAACUUGGACCGCAUGGUCCGAGUUUGAAAGAUGGCUUCGGCUAUCACUUUUGGAUGGUCCCGCGGCGUAUUAGCUAGAUGGUGGGGUAACGGCUCACCAUGGCAAUGAUACGUAGCCGACCUGAGAGGGUAAUCGGCCACAUUGGGACUGAGACACGGCCCAAACUCCUACGGGAGGCAGCAGUAGGGAAUCUUCCACAAUGGACGAAAGUCUGAUGGAGCAACGCCGCGUGAGUGAAGAAGGGUUUCGGCUCGUAAAACUCUGUUGUUAAAGAAGAACAUAUCUGAGAGUAACUGUUCAGGUAUUGACGGUAUUUAACCAGAAAGCCACGGCUAACUACGUGCCAGCAGCCGCGGUAAUACGUAGGUGGCAAGCGUUGUCCGGAUUUAUUGGGCGUAAAGCGAGCGCAGGCGGUUUUUUAAGUCUGAUGUGAAAGCCUUCGGCUCAACCGAAGAAGUGCAUCGGAAACUGGGAAACUUGAGUGCACAA
Molecule: ribosomal RNA, 602 nt
Filed under: Lactiplantibacillus plantarum
Lineage: Bacteria; Bacillati; Bacillota; Bacilli; Lactobacillales; Lactobacillaceae
Description: bacterial SSU rRNA
Rfam family: Bacterial small subunit ribosomal RNA
Source: RNAcentral